Molecule: long non-coding RNA, 131 nt
Organism: Cydia pomonella (codling moth)
Lineage: Eukaryota; Metazoa; Arthropoda; Insecta; Lepidoptera; Tortricidae
Exons: 2
Source: RefSeq, a predicted model, not a curated record
GUAUAAAGUACCUGGGCGACCGAGCUUUGCUCGGUUAUAACUAUUUAUUGUAAUAUGGUGGUGAUAAUCUUAACUACAUUUUUUACUAAAUUAAACUUGUCUAAAACAAUAAAAAUUAAAAAUUAUAUAUA